UAGGCAGCCACACAGCUACAAACAAGGGUGGAUUUCAGAGCUCAGGGGCUCCGGCACAUUUCUGGCACCUGCGGGCUUCCCAUGCCAUUUGGUUGCCAUGGAGCAUGGAGACAGCAGGUGGCUGGAGGUGGCUCCCCAGGUAACACGGACAUUCCUGAGCUCAAAGAGUUUUGCAUCCGUGCAGCCAGCCCACGGGGUCCCGAGAGACUCUCUUGUCUCAGGAGGGUUUGACAUCCUCAUUCCCUUAUGUCCUAGGCACCGCUAGGAUGCUGUUUACUCUGCCAAGGGAAUGAACUCCCUGCCAGUCAGUUCAGACCCAACCACUGUUCAAGCUUUAUGACUUAAGACCACAAAAACUGGAAAAAUUGCUUUCGAGAAAACGCCCCUUUUUUGGUGUGUUUCUCCAGUACCUGGCAAGGAGCCUAGAUGAGUGAUCAAUUGUUGAUGAUCGAUAACUAUCUGCUGAGAAUAUACCUACGAGCGAAAUAGCAACAAAAAUGUAUUGAGACCUACUUAGUGUGAGCUUAUCUCCACCCUGUGAUCGCUGGUUUCAUGAGAGAACCAGAUGCGCAUGUGAGAAACCUUCCUCGUUUUUCCCCGAGAACUUCUGCAGAGGAGGUGUGACAAAGCCAUUUACGCUAACAGUAUGAUGUGGUGUAGAGAUGGAGAUAAUGGAGGCUUGCCAGGUCUGACCUUGAAGAAUAUUCCAGAAAACUCCAGAAACUGUAUGAAAGAGGCCACAGAAAUAAAGGCAGAAGCAAACAAACAAAUUGUGACCAGAAAUUAUUCGGUGGGAAAUAACAUAAAUUAAAAUAAGAUCUAAUCGACUCCAUUCUGUAUGCCUUUCUGUUGUACUGUGUGUGUGUGUGUGUGUGUGUGUGUGUGUGUGUGUCCGAGAACCUGCUGGGACCAUCUGUUAAAUGUUUAUUUCCAUUGUUACUUCGGAGGUGCCAGAAAAGCCUGUGAAGGAAAGAAAGAGGAAAAUAGCUUUUUAAGAUCAUUGGAAGAUGAUCAAGAAAAGGAAAAGCCAGGAGCCAAAUUCAGCCUCAAGUUCUGUCCAUCUUUUUAUAACCAGAAAGUUCUAGAAUAGGCAAGUCUACCUUUUCAGAGAAUUAUUACCUCCAUCUCUGCUUGUUUCCUCGUUGUUGAUACCACUCUUUCAUGGUAGAGGAAGUGGAGUACUUAGGAGGGAGACAUUUUGUCAUUUGUCAAUACUUCUUUGCAAGGACAGAGGAAAUGGAGCAAAGACAGGAAACAAACCAUUUUACUUUACUUGUUAGCUCUUCUGGAAAAUAGUUUGAGAAUAAGGAUGAAGUCUUCAGCCAAAAUAAGGUACAAGAGCUUGUCUGUACAAUUUAAUUAUUCAUGCUUUCCCUUCCUACAAUUAGUCUGGAUAAUCAAAUACUGAGUGACCCAGAAAGACUGAAAGACAAUGGAACAUUUUCCAGUGGCCUCACAUGCUCCUAAGGUUUAAUCCUUCUUGCUGACAGCCAAGAAUAGCUUCAUCGUGGAAAAAUUGAAGAAGAAAGUAAUUAGCAUCCCUGAACAAACCUUGAAAGUUUGUGUUUACAUUGGAUUAAAUUCAUAAAAGGAAAAACUGGGUUUUUCUGCUCUCCGAACUAUAAAAAUUUGGGCAGACAAUACUUAAAGUGCCAGCAGCUUCAGAGUCAAUUACCUUAAACCUUGUUGCCAAAAACUAAUUUUAUUUGGUGAAAAGCAAAGUGAGAGUCUACUGGUUUGGCCCAAACCUCAAAUUAGCUUGCAAAUGACAAAUUCUCAUUUUUUUCCAUCAAAAUAAAAUAGCUCCACUUAGACAUUGUGUAUUUCUAGGAGAUUGAAACCAACAUAUAGAACUUACCUUUAAAUACUGUAACCACUUAACAAAGGCCUGGGGGCACUUUUGGCUAGAAUACAACACAGCAGCGUCUGGUAAAAAGUCCAUCUGUUUAAGGAAAGUUAUAGCGAGAUUUCUGUAUUUUAUGGAAAAAAUUACUUUAGGUUCAUCCUAUGGAAGCAAAGGAUUGUAGUGCUUUACAUGAACUCUCAUUUCAU
Molecule: long non-coding RNA, 2052 nt
Organism: Felis catus (domestic cat)
Lineage: Eukaryota; Metazoa; Chordata; Mammalia; Carnivora; Felidae
Exons: 3
Source: RefSeq, a predicted model, not a curated record